This 957-nucleotide long non-coding RNA is filed under the name Anas platyrhynchos platyrhynchos (common mallard). RNAcentral describes it as "lncRNA (ENSAPLG00000022240.1)". The record is from RNAcentral. Lineage: Eukaryota; Metazoa; Chordata; Aves; Anseriformes; Anatidae.
GCUCAAAGGACUGAUGGCUCUGUGAAGCAGCUGAACAGCAAGGAGAACAGCAGAAGAAGAACAGCUGAACAGCAGAGAAGUCAGAGUAGUCAUCUCAAUGAACAACCAACCUUUGCCCGUGGUGAAAUAGGAUCUCAUGAGAACAACAUUUUGUGAUUUCUCAACUUCCUAUCCACCUACCACACUUGAAGCUAAUACUUUUGACUUUUCUGGAGCUAAGAACACGUAACAUAAUCCCGGUACAGGAGAAGGCUUCUUCAGAAUGUGAUUACUGCUUCAUGCGUGAAGGGAAUCCCAGGGCUGUACCUACCCCAAAACCUCAUCCACAAAUACCUCAUCCACGUGUUGAAGGCAGCAAGAAGGAUUGUCACACCAACGUUGUUGCUCUUUGUGGGACAGCCACAGCAUCGUAGUGACCAGAGAGCCUCCUGGAAGCCAGCAGGAGAGGGAGCAGUGGGUGUGAUGUGAAGGAGUGCUGGAGAGCAGCCCUGUCAUGCUGAGCUCUCAGGAUAUGUUUGGGUAAUCCUAAAAGACUGCUUGGAGAAGCAGAAAGACACAGGGAGAAGAAGAAAGCAGGAGGCUGGCACAGCCGGCUCUGGAAAUGAUCAGAGGCACUAGUGCCAUAUUGCACCUCUGCACAUGGCCCCGUUGGUCCAUUACAGCUCUUUGCUGGAAGGCAGCUGGCAUCCAGGUAGCUCCAUUGGAGGUGUCUGCAGUGAGCCAAGCAGCAAAAGGGCCACAAAACAAAGGGCUGCACCGAUUCCUUGUUGGAAAGGAGAGGGAAACGCUGAACCUGUGCUGUUGAAGCUGAUGUCAAAACCUUGGUGUUUUCCAGUCAGUGAUAAGGCAGAGCCUGUGGAGAAGGAUUGCUGGCACCUCCUCAGGGUCUGUGUGUCCUGCCUGGCCCCAGCUGGAUGGGCUCAGCCUGGAUCCUGUUGGUGUGAGGGGAUGGGGUGA